CGAUUUGUAGAACAUGUGAAGAAGCACAUCGACUUGAAGCUUUGGUGGCCCAAUAAAACACUCCAAUAAAACUAGAGUUACCAUGGUGAAUAUUGUAAAUCUAAAGGAAUAAAAUUGUAUAGAGUUUAAAUCCCUUAGAACUCUCAACUUGUAGAUAGGCUUUGAUUUCGACCGUCAAUAGAAUUUAAAUUGUACUGGUGGAUUUGGGGAGCUCAACUAUAAAUAAAUGUCAAACUCUAACACUUGGUGUGUGUUGCCUUUCUGUUCGCUUGUAGCUUCUUUUCUAUUCAAGUUUGCUUCCACUUUAUCUCGACGCCUUAAAACAUUUUUUACGAACUCUCAUUUUUCGACAAUAAGAUUGACUUGUACAAAUUUAAAGCUAAAUGUCUAUUUAAAACAACGCAAUUUAUGAGACUAACCCUUUAGCAAUCAUGAUCCAAGCAGUAUUCCACCAAGAAACAACCAAUGCUAUCAUUUUGCCACGAGGGCAUUAUACAGACAGUGGUAUGAUAAGUUGAAUGCAACUUGAAUUACCAUUAUUAAUUUAAUAAAAAAUAAAAAAUUUAAUUCUUUUUAAAAUAUGACUUUUGGAAAAUGAAUUGUGUAAUAGUCCAUUUUUGCCCGGCCCAUUCAAAAUAAGACCAACCCAAAAUCAUAACAUUGCCCAAAUACCCUUGGCCAAAUACACUAGGCCCUAAACCUAAGCCCAUUACACCAAGAAAACAAAUAGCAGAAACACUAACAGUCAGCAGCAGAUCGACGCCACCAUUGUCCCACGUCGCAGCAACUAUCUCCAUGCACGAACGCACAGCAACUGCCCACGUCGCGCACGCCUCUUCCAGUACCCACCUACAGCAAAAAUCAAAUCACGAACCACAGCACAACGGAUUUUUUUUUUAUUGUUGUUUUGGAGGGUAUAAAAAGGGAUUUGUAAAACCGAUUUAGGGGGUAGGAAAUUUGUAUUACAAAAAACCCAUCGAAAAUACAAAGACAAAAAAGCAAAAAUUUUGUAUGAAAAUUAACUGGAAAAUAAACGAAAAAACAUUUUUGAAGGUGGGAUUUUGUCUUCUUUCUCAGUUUUUUUACUGUUUUUUUUAAUUUACCUUGUUCUUUUCUUUUGCUUCUUUUUUUUUAAAAAAAACAACAAAGAUAAACGAAAAAGGAGAAAGAAAUGAGGACUUACCGUCGUGAGAGUCGUCGGAGGGCGUCCUCGCUUCGUCGAAGUCUGAAACGGCAGAGAGGGGGCUGAGUCUGCUGUUGUGUUUUCAAACAAAAAGAAAAGUGACCUAGUUUUGUUUUAAAACAAGUUUUAAAUGGCUUUUUAUGUAAUAUAUUAAAACAGUGCCGUUUAAUGGCUAUGGAUCUGGG
This 1368-nucleotide long non-coding RNA is filed under the name Gossypium barbadense (sea-island cotton). RNAcentral's name for it is "long non-coding RNA (GBAR_LNC017500)". The record is from RNAcentral. Lineage: Eukaryota; Viridiplantae; Streptophyta; Magnoliopsida; Malvales; Malvaceae.